UCUCCGUAGGUGAACCUGCGGAGGGAUCAUUACAGAGUUCUCGCCCUCGCGGGUAGAUCUCCCACCCACUGUUAUCGUUACUGUGUUGCUUUGGCGGGCCGCCGGGCCCCGCUCGGCCGCCGGCUCCGGCUGGCGCGCGCCCGCCAGAGGCCCAGCAAACUCUGAAUGUUGGUGUCGUCUGAGUACUAUAUAAUAGUUAAAACUUUCAACAACGGAUCUCUUGGUUCUG
This 229-nucleotide unclassified non-coding RNA is filed under the name plant metagenome. RNAcentral describes it as "partial contains small subunit ribosomal RNA, internal transcribed spacer 1, and 5.8S ribosomal RNA". The record is from RNAcentral.